Molecule: unclassified non-coding RNA, 348 nt
Filed under: soil metagenome
Description: partial contains 5.8S ribosomal RNA, internal transcribed spacer 2, and large subunit ribosomal RNA
Rfam family: 5.8S ribosomal RNA (bases 1-120)
Source: RNAcentral
GAUGAAGAACGUAGCGAAAUGCGAUAAGUAAUGUGAAUUGCAGAAUUCAGUGAAUCAUCGAAUCUUUGAACGCACAUUGCGCCCGCUGGUAUUCCGGCGGGCAUGCCUGUUCGAGCGUCAUUUCAACCCUCAAGCCCCCGGGUUUGGUGUUGGGGAUCGGCUCUGCCUUCUGGCGGUGCCGCCCCCGAAAUACAUUGGCGGUCUCGCUGCAGCCUCCAUUGCGUAGUAGCUAACACCUCGCAACUGGAACGCGGCGCGGCCAUGCCGUAAAACCCCCCAACUUUUUAUAGUUGACCUCGAAUCAGGUAGGACUACCCGCUGAACUUAAGCAUAUCAAUAAGCGGAGGA